UGAGGGCCCUGGUAGGGUGAGACCUUUCCAGCAAAAAAUGAAGUGAAAUGGCCCCAUCAUAGAGAGCCCCCUUCUUGACCCUUUCAUCAGAGUUGCUAUGGUUUAUAGAUGUCAACAAAUUCCCCCACCCUGGAAAGCAAGGCCUCUGCCAGUCAGAAGAAAGAAUUUUGUCAGAGGUGGGAAGAGUUUCUCUUUUGGAGUCUGACCCCUCGUUUUGUGGAUGUAGAAGAUGGAUGGAAUCCUCCUUCUUACUCCUUAGCCCCAGAAAAGCAUCCCCACGCAAAUAAACCCAUAAGAGGAUCCCUGAGUCCGCCAACUGAAACACUUCAUCACCAUAUCCAGCUUUGGAGGUGUUCACUCCAUGGAUUUGGGUUGAACAGGACUCUCAGACUUCAGUCAGCCAGGACUUUGCAGGAGCCUUCCUCAUUUCAGCUGGAUUUGAACCUGGAGAAGCUGGAAGCCCCCCCCCCCCGCAUCCUAAGAAUGAAGCUUGCACAGAGAAAGGUAGGGUUGAAAGAUGGACAGAAACUGAACCUUGAGUUCUGUCACACCGUGGUCAUUGUUAUCUCCAUUUCACAGAUAAGGAAACCGAGACUAGGUGAGACUCAAUUACUUAUCGCAGAUGUCCAGGAGACAGGAUUUGACUCGAUGAAGGUCAGAUUUCAAAAGUGAGGCAAUUUCUGCUGUAAGACACCUCCACAACUCGUAAACACGCCAUCUCCUCUGAGUGAGAGAAAUGAUGAAUUUUGAAACUAGUAGGUCUGAGUUUGAGUCUAUCAAGGAGAUUUUAUGCUCUUUUGGCAAUGCCUGUGUUCGAUGGGAUAAACACAUACUUCUGUUUCUCAGGAUAAUUCACGGGUUUUGUCUGCUUGGUUUUUGCUCACUUUCCACAGAAAGAGUACUAACUCUUAUAGAUAUGCUAAUGAGUGUCUCUUCAAUUGUCCUCUCUUGGAGUUUUUCUUUGGGUAUAUUCUUGCUGGUUCCCCAGAUAUAAGUGCAUAGCAAAGAGUGGGGAAGGUGUGGAAUGCUCUGGAAAGAUAGGGAAGAGUAGACCAAGAAACAAUCAAAUGUGGACCACGGUGUUUUAGGAUGGUGUGUUUUAUAUUUUUUAGAAGAGCUUCCCUGAGCCAUCCCAGCAGAGUCUAAGAAACCCUGCCAGAUCUAGGUGGGCUGGGGGAACUAUAGGACAUAGGAACAAUAUGUACUAAACCCUUGCUGUGUAAGUGACAGGAAUGGGAUUUGAUUUUCAAACACAGGUGCUUUGUUACACUCCACGCCUGCAAAGCACUUCUAACUCCAUCACUGUUCUGCUUUGCUGAUAACCAGAGUCAUUAUGAAUUUUAAGACGAUCAGAGUUAUCUUGAAGGUUAUCAAGAUUUUCUGUUCUGUGGGUGAUGUUUAUCAGGCUAACCUUAGAACUGCUCAGAAAUGGCAGAGUUGUUCUCUAAGAUGGGGAGUUGUGAGUCUGGCCUGAAUAUUUCUUUAAAAAAGAAAGGAGGGGUGGGGCGCCUGGGUGGCUCAGUCGUUAAGCUCCUGCCUUCGGCUCAGGUCAUGAUCCCAGGGUCCUGGGAUCGAUCCCCGCAUCGGACUCCCUGCUCAGUGGGAAGUCUGCUUCUCCCUCUCCACUCCCCCUGCUUGUGUUCCCUCUCUCGCUGUGUCUCUCUCUGUCAAAUAAAUAAAUAAACAAUCUUUAAAAAAAAAAAAAGUACUUCUUUAAAAAAAAAAAAGAAAGGAGGGGUGCCUGGGUGGCUUACUUGGUUAAGUGGCAGACUAUUGGUUUCAGCUCGGGUCCUGAUCUCAGGGAUUGUGGGAUUGACUCCCCCCGUUGGGCUCUGUGCUCAGCACGGAGUCUGCUUGUCCCUCUCCCUCUUCUCCUCCACUUGCUUUCUCUCUCUCUUUCUCUCUCCUUCUCUCUAAAAGAAAUAAAUAAAAUCCAAAAAAAAAAAAAAAAAAGGAAACAACAAAAAAAAUCAGAUUCCAAGGAGUUCCCCUUCAUUCAGACUCAGAGUAUUUAAUUCCAACAAAGAAUCAGAUGGGAAGGGAUAUUUUCAUAUUCUGUCCCAACAAGCACUUUGGUGGGUUCAUCUGGUAUCCUACAGUGAUAGCAUCCAACUGUGACGAUCCUAAGCAUGGCCUUCUUCAGAGCAUUUGUGAUUAAAAGCCCAAGAAGCAAGUUGAAGCAAUAACACAGCGUACUUUACAAACCAAUUUAAUUAAACUUGACUAGCCGUGGGAAACUCCACUCAACUAGCUGGUCAGUGGGAUAUCAUGGUUAACCAAGGGAGAGGCCAAAUUAGGCCCAGACCCCGGAGACUGUUUCAAGUCCCAGCAGUGAGACUGCUCACCUUUUCUCAUCUAAUUGCAGCCAUCAGUUUAAUCCUUAAAGAAUUAUGUCCAAUUGGUUUCCGUCUGUCUGCAUUUGUAAAUGUCAUUCUGCCCAUCAUGUGCUGUAAAGAUUAGCUAUGCUUCAUCGUUUUGUUAGCAUGAAUCAAUAAUGUGGGUUUCUUGGCUCGCUGAAUUUUUAUUUGU
Mirounga angustirostris (Northern elephant seal) is the source of this 2529-nucleotide long non-coding RNA. RefSeq lists it as uncharacterized. The record is from RefSeq and is a predicted model, not a curated record. The transcript is spliced from 3 exons. Lineage: Eukaryota; Metazoa; Chordata; Mammalia; Carnivora; Phocidae.